GACGAACGCUGGCGGCGUGCUUAACACAUGCAAGUCGAACGGAAAGGCCCUGCUUUUGUGGGGUGCUCGAGUGGCGAACGGGUGAGUAACACGUGAGUAACCUGCCCUUGACUUUGGGAUAACUUCAGGAAACUGGGGCUAAUACCGGAUAGGAGCUCCUGCUGCAUGGUGGGGGUUGGAAAGUUUCGUCGGUUGGGGAUGGACUCGCGGCUUAUCAGCUUGUUGGUGGGGUAGUGGCUUACCAAGGCUUUGACGGGUAGCCGGCCUGAGAGGGUGACCGGCCACAUUGGGACUGAGAUACGGACCAGACUCCUACGGGAGGCAGCAGUGGGGAAUAUUGCACAAUGGGCGGAAGCCUGAUGCAGCAACGCCGCGUGCGGGAUGACGGCCUUCGGGUUGUAAACCGCUUUCGCCUGUGACGAAGCGUGAGUGACGGUAAUGGGUAAAGAAGCACCGGCUAACUACGUG
Molecule: ribosomal RNA, 468 nt
Filed under: uncultured bacterium
Lineage: Bacteria
Description: partial 16S ribosomal RNA
Rfam family: Bacterial small subunit ribosomal RNA
Source: RNAcentral